CCAAUAGCGUAUAUUAAAGUUGUUGCAGUUAAAAAGCUCGUAGUUGAAUUUCGGGAUCAAUAUGUUGGUCGUGCCUUGGUACGUACUGGCGUCAUUGGUUUCUACCUUCUGAAGAACCUCGAUGUCAUUAAUUUGGUGUCUUGGGGAAUCAGGACUGUUACUUUGAAAAAAUUAGAGUGUUUAAAGCAAGCUCACGCUUGAAUACAUUAGCAUGGAAUAAUGAAAUAGGACGUUUGAUUCUAUUUUGUUGGUUUCUAGGAUCGACGUAAUGAUUAAUAGGGAUAGUUGGGUGCAUUAGUAUUCAAUUGUCAGAGGUGAAAUUCUUGGAUUUAUUGAAGACUAACUACUGCGAAAGCAUUUGCCAAGGAUGUUUUCAUUAAUCAAAACCGAAAGUUAGGGGAUCGAAGACGAUCAGAUACCGUCGUAGUCUUAACCAUAAACUAUGCCGACUAGGGAUCGGAUGAUGUUAAUUUUUUAAUGACUCAUUCGGCGCCUUACG
RNAcentral lists this ribosomal RNA (499 nucleotides) under uncultured Glomeromycotina. Its description in RNAcentral is "partial small subunit ribosomal RNA". It matches the Rfam family "Eukaryotic small subunit ribosomal RNA", at positions 591 to 1092 of the family's 1831-position model. The record is from RNAcentral. Lineage: Eukaryota; Fungi; Glomeromycota.